CCUACACACAUACAGCUCACACACACACAGUACACUAACCGCACCCUCACAAACACACACAGCACCUUUAAAAAAAACACAACACCCUCACACACAUCACACUAACAGCACCCUCACAAACACACACACACAAACAGCACCCUCACAAAUACAUGACACUCACACAAACAGUACCCUCACAGGACAAACACACACACACAGAGCACAGUCACAAACACACACACACA
Molecule: non-coding RNA, 227 nt
Organism: Pelobates cultripes (western spadefoot toad)
Lineage: Eukaryota; Metazoa; Chordata; Amphibia; Anura; Pelobatidae
Source: the annotation of a GenBank genome assembly